Non-coding RNA from Phascolarctos cinereus (koala), 296 nucleotides. The record is from RefSeq and is a predicted model, not a curated record. NCBI's taxonomy places the organism in Eukaryota, Metazoa, Chordata, Mammalia, Diprotodontia, Phascolarctidae.
CGGCGCUGCCCGGCCGCGCCUGCUUGCGUCCCCGCGGGCUCGUCAUGUAUGCCGGGGGCUUCUGGGCUCCAGAUCUUAAAUUAAAGUGUAAAAGAAGGGACGGGACGGUGGAAAACAGCAGGUACUCCCUGGCUGUCACACUCAUCUUCAACUCGACUUACUUGCCGCUGCCUUGGGUUUCGCAACGAAAAGUGCCAGGCAAAAAUGGAUAAAGUCUUUGAAUCCACAAUUAGAAUUAACUGUUGAAGAUACAGAGACCCCAAUAGAUCUGGUUGUUAAACAUUUACCAGCACAUC